AGUUUAGACAGACAGAAAGACACACACAUUACACACACAUACAUACACACAUAUUACACACACAUAUGGCACACACACAUUUUACACACAUUUAUUGCUCCCCCAAAUGCCAGUCAUUUCAAAGGUGUCAAUGUAGAAAGCUUGCUCAGUUGACUGCCUAUUAAUAUCAUUACAAUCUUUAUAAUUCACAACUGUGAAGACAAAUAGAUAUGGUAGGAAAAGAGAUAAGAGAUAAGUUGAGUGUCCUGUGAAUAUGUUUAUAGAUAUGUACUGUACAUCUGUGUGUAUAUAUUUUUUAAUUUUUUAUUUCAAUGAUUAUUAUUAUUAUCAUUAUUGUGUUUUGUGGUUGAAGGGCAUGGGGUGGGGGAGGUUGAUGGGGAUGGUGGAGGUGCUGGGGGUGUCCUAUUGAGGGUGAAGUGACCUAUUGGGGAGGGGAUUCUUCAUGUAGGCACAUUCAGUCAUAGUUUUGUUUAUUGUAUUAUUAUACAUUUAUUUAUUUUUUCUUAUUUUUAAAACUAUUAUAUAGAACAGUUUACUGUGAUUUUGGAUAUGCACUCAUGUUGACUUAUAUAUUUGAACUUCCUUUUUCACUCAGAGUACAUUUUUUAAAUGUAUUAUUAUUUUAUUAUUACUACUGUACCUACAUUCUUAAAAGCUAAAACAGAAAAAGUGUACUUCUUUUAAAGGAAAAGCCAUAAGAGGGAAAAGCACGAUGGGAUGGGGGAUUGAGGGAUGGGUAGAGAACAGUAGAGUGCUCUAAAAACUAUUAUUGCUGAAAUAACCACUUCCUUUUGUGACUAGAGUCGAAUACUUCCUGUGGCACACAUCAGAGGGCAUGAUAGGUAACCAAAAUGAUUCUGAAGUGUGCCAGGCCUCGCAUUCCCAAUAUCCCCCAAUAGAGUCAAAUAGUUUCUGUGGCACACACUACUGGUCAACAUGGGCUACCAUGGGGGGGAUAUCAGCAGUCAAGAAAAUAGCCUUGCCAGGAUAGACCCCAGGAUAGGCAACCAAAAUGAAUAAUAUAUGUAUGUGUGUUAUAUUAAACAUAGAGGUGGGAGUAAAAUGUAGGCAAGCAAUAAACAUUUCAGAAUAACUACUAGUCGAAUAAGACAUGGGAGAGAUGACGAAUUUUGGCAGAGGUGUAUUUAUAGACUAAUACACUUAAAACAAAUAGCCAAACUGAAAACUGAAGACAUUACUAGUGCCUCCCCCGCGAUCAAUCCGACAUAAAAAAAAAAUGAAAAUGAAACGCAACAUAACAUGAUCAAAUCCCAACUAGCAAGCAAGUCGCAGCAAUGAAGAAUUGAGUGAGUGUGCUUGCGCGUUCACCACGAAGGGGUGGACAUUUGGCCGGGGCGAGCCUUUCGGCACAACACUGGCAAACAGUGCCAAUAUCCUCGAAACACCGGCUUUGAGUGCAUUAUCAUUUUUAUAUAACUGGUUACCAACAUAUUCAAAUAAUAAUUUACAUAUUUAUUAAAAAUUAUAUUUUUAUUAAUUUAUUCAUACUAUUUCAUCCUUCCUCAAGACAUAGUCCCGACACAAAUCUAGAGUUGCUACCCCAGCUGGCUGGUCUUUUGUUUUGUAUCUAUGGAUGUGACCCAGUUGUUCAUUCUAAAUGUUCCAUUGCCAUGCUGGAAGGCAACUUUCUUAUCCCUUGCUUGCUACUGUAGCUAGCCAACUACGUCUAAUUUACAGUCACGUCAAAAAGUGCAGCCAGAAUCACAACAAAGUAACUGCACUUGCAUUUGCUUAAGCUGUUUUCCAGUGACAUGUAUUUGGAACAUCGAUAACAAUGAGCUAAUGGCAUAGAAAAUGUGCUCACUCGUCAGGUCACUGUUCAGAGAAGCUAGCCAACAACACAGCUAAAACAAUCACUUCAAACUGAAGCUGGAAAGAUUGCAAACUAGCUGCACUUCGUUUACCGAGGUAAAGACAGUUUCGGGUUGGAUAUUCGACGGAUAUUCGCCUAGUUUUCCUUACGUUCACCAACAGCAGUAUGUUGACAAAUUGAUUUGUCAACAUAGUGACAAAUCAAUUUUUUCAAAUUUCAAUAGCUCUUUUUAAAACCAUUACUCCUAAAACUUUCUAAACUGGUUGUAGCUAACCUGAUGGCAUAGACACACAUUACACACGCUUUUUUUUGUUGUCAUUUACAUUUCGCAAUAUUUUUAAAAAUGUAUUUACAUUUUUGAAUUUCAAUAGCUCUUGGUUAUAUGACCCACUGACUUCAAACAAGGUUCAGAAUGUACAGUCAGUGGGCCUACACAUUACACACCAUUUAGUUUGUCCAUUUUCAUCUCACAUGUUUUUACAUUAAUUUUUCAAACUUUCAAAUUUCAAUAGCUCCUUGGUCAUGAGACCUACUGAUUUCAAACAAGGUUCAGAAUGUCCACUGACUACCCUUAUGUAGUCAGUGGACUAUAGGUUUUCCAUUGUACUGUAUCUAAUACAUAUUAGCAUUUUACAUACAUUCAUAAGUGUAAUAAUUUUUUAUGACAAUGUGAAAAACUCUCUUGGCUGCUGACUGUCACUUUCAGACAUGCAGAGCAAACUGAAAGGGGAAGGGUAGCUCAUGACUUGAACCACAGGGGUUCUCUGUAAAGAGAGAGUCAUCCAAAAGGCACACCCCUUGACUUUCAGUUGGCACCGUUGACCUGUAUGUAUUCUCUCCUGAUUGGCUCUGUGGUGCACAGUCUGGCAGUCUGACUAAAGUGCCAAAGGUAUGAGGAGAGACAUCCUCCUUUGUAUUUAUGGGAACAAAUAUUUCCUAACACUUUGAAUCCUAUUCUUGGACAGUUAGAAAACACAAUGCUUCAAUGCAACAAUUUUUUUAUUUUUUACUAAUUACUGUCCAUGAGUAACCUCAACCUUGUGGGUCUGUGGAUGUUUGGGCCAAUAAAGUGCCAACUCAAUUCUACCACAGACUAACUAGUCUCUCAUGCCCCUAUGAACACAGGGCAAUAGUUUUUACUCUAAACUAGCCUUUUUUUUUACUGGAGUACACCAACCCUAAUUGGGGCUCUUUUCUUGACACAUAGUAGCAGUUUAUCAGACAAGAAGUCAAGAAGAUCAAAAAGUAGAUUGGCGUAAGGGUGUAUUACGUCCUGUCCUGCCCCAUUGUCAUAUCCAUUCUAGAUAAAAUCAUAGCUGGAAAAUGCCUCUAUGUACGUGUAUACUGUAUGUGGGAAUGUCUUAUGUCCGUCCUACAUGUAGUGUUGAUACAUGGAAUAUUCCUCAACUGCAUAUAUCAUAAAUUGCUAUUGCAAAUAGAAGUACCUGUGAUCUUUGUGAUAUGACUUUCUUUAAUUAAGCACGUACUGAUGAAACUGUCACUUAAUAUUUUUUUCUUUAAGUCUACAGACACUACAUUUAUUCACUCUGUGAUAGGGUUGGAUCCUAUAUGCUACUUUUAUUAUUGUCCUGUAAAUGGUUCAGUGCCUAUAAUUUAGGCUGUGUGUAGAAUGGGGCAUAAAGGAAAUUAACUCUACUAGAUUAUAGUGAUAAGAAAAUCAGCAUAGUUUUGGCCUGUGUAUUCAUUUACCUAUAACUAAUCAGAAUCACAUUAUGUUUACAUAAAAAAGAGAAUACUUAAAAAUGAGAAGAUCCUGCCAUGGAAAAGACAACUGGGUGGACAUAAAGUGGAAAGGAGGGAAAUAACUCACACCAUGCAGCAGGACACCUUCAGCUGGGGGGUAUUUGUAAUGCAGGUUUGAUAGUUAUAUUUUCAAUGAUGAAUGGUUAGCUGUUAUGUGACAAUUGGGUCAAAAAACUCUAUUUUAUCCCCUCCCAAAUUGAUAUAGAACCUUCGCAAAAACACAUGGGGCAACUGAAAAAGAAAUGGCUGAGGAUAUAUUCAAAAUGUCUGAGUUCAACAAAGCCAACAACUGCUUCAUGUGUGCCACUGAUAAAGAACCCUGGAUGUGGGCCAAAGACUGACUGGACAACGGUUCAGAGUGAAGAACACAAACUGGAAGUGAUGUCUUUGUUGUUGAAAAUGUAUGCUAUAUCCCAUCCACACUGAAGAGGCUCUGAAAUGUACAUCAACCAGGGAUAAAGAGAAAGUUAACACAGUGAAAUGUUU
This is a long non-coding RNA of Oncorhynchus keta (chum salmon), 4084 nucleotides long. RefSeq lists it as uncharacterized. The transcript has 3 exons. NCBI's taxonomy places the organism in Eukaryota, Metazoa, Chordata, Actinopteri, Salmoniformes, Salmonidae. The record is from RefSeq and is a predicted model, not a curated record.